Molecule: ribosomal RNA, 497 nt
Filed under: uncultured bacterium
Lineage: Bacteria
Description: partial 16S ribosomal RNA
Rfam family: Bacterial small subunit ribosomal RNA
Source: RNAcentral
GAUGAACGCUGGCGGCGUGCCUAAUACAUGCAAGUCGAGCGAACAGACGAGGAGCUUGCUCCUCUGACGUUAGCGGCGGACGUGUGAGUAACACGUGGAUAACCUACCUAUAAGACUGGGAUAACUUCGGGAAACCGGAUCUAAUACCGGAUAAUAUAUUGAACCGCAUGGUUCAAUAGUGAAAGACGGUUUUGCUGUCACUUAUAGAUGGAUCCGCGCCGCAUUAGCUAGUUGGUAAGGUAACGGCUUACCAAGGCGACGAUGCGUAGCCGACCUGAGAGGGUGAUCGGCCACACUGGAACUGAGACACGGUCCAGACUACUACGGGAGGCAGCAGUAGGGAAUCUUCCGCAAUGGGCGAAAGCCUGACGGAGCAACGCCGCGUGAGUGAUGAAGGUCUUCGGAUCGUAAAACUCUGUUAUUAGGGAAGAACAAAUGUGUAAGUAACUAUGCACGUCUUGACGGUACCUAAUCAGAAAGCCACGGCUAACUACGUG